GAUGAACGCUAGCGGCAGGCCUAACACAUGCAAGUCGAGGGGUAGAGUUCUUCGGGACUUGAGACCGGCGCACGGGUGCGUAACGCGUAUGCAAUCUACCUUAUACAGGGGAAUAGCCCAGAGAAAUUUGGAUUAAUGCCCCAUAGUGUUAUCGAAUCGCAUGGUUUGAUAACUAAAGUUCCAACGGUAUAAGAUGAGCAUGCGUCCAUUAGUUAGUUGGUAAGGUAACGGCUUACCAAGGCAACGAUGGGUAGGGGUACCGUGAGAGGGAGAUCCCCACACUGGUACUGAGACACGGACCAGACUCCUACGGGAGGCAGCAGUGAGGAAU
Molecule: ribosomal RNA, 331 nt
Filed under: uncultured bacterium
Lineage: Bacteria
Description: bacterial SSU rRNA
Rfam family: Bacterial small subunit ribosomal RNA
Source: RNAcentral